CCGCGGUAAUACGUAUGAGGCUAGCGUUGUUCGGAUUUACUGGGCGUAAAGGGUGUGUAGGCGGUUUGGCAAGUCUGAUGUGGAAACUAGAAGCUUAACUUCUAGACGCCAUUAGAAACUACUUAACUUGAGUACAGGAGGGGAGAGUGGAAUUCCAGGUGUAGCGGUGAAAUGCUUAGAUAUCUGGAGGAACACCAGUGGCGAAGGCGGCUCUCUGGACUGUAACUGACGCUGAAACACGAAAGCAUGGGGAGCAAACGGGAUUAGAUACCCCGGUAGUCCAUGCCGUAAACGAUGGAUAUUAGGUGUAGAGAAUACGAAAUUUUCUGUGCCGAAGUUAACACAUUAAAUAUCCCGCCUGGGGAGUAUGACCCAAGGUUG
This 381-nucleotide ribosomal RNA is filed under the name uncultured bacterium TK24-01. RNAcentral's name for it is "bacterial SSU rRNA". It matches the Rfam family "Bacterial small subunit ribosomal RNA", at positions 515 to 896 of the family's 1533-position model. The record is from RNAcentral.